UUAGCUCUCAUCUCACCAGCCCAUCAUUAUUGUAUGUGCUGCCUUCUGAAGCUUGCAGCUGGCUACAUCAGGAAUUCUCAGGGAUUAUAAUCCUCAUCAAUAUAACAAGCCUCCAAAGUCAUAUUUUUUAACUUUGUGAAAUGCCCUCCCACCUAACUACCCCAUUUGACACCUGCAACCAUCCUCUAGAGAGGCAGACAAGAUCGACCGUCUCACUUUACAGAAGUGCAAAGAGUAGCUGGCCUAAUGCCACAGCCAAUGAACAGAUGAAGGAGGCCUACAACCACCUAGUCUUCCCUACUUCUCCUCACUCCUCCCCUCUGACCUCCUUAUGUCACCACUGACCAAUGGAUCACUGUGUGGCCGUUCAGCAUCUUCCUAUGCUGUGUCAGGCAAGAGAAAUUCUGGAAAGAGAGCAUCUCAUGUUUAUUAAGGAGACUGGGUGUCCUUGUAGAAAGUCCUGCCAUGCACAACCCCGGUCUUAACUGAUGUGUUUCACCAUACUGAAGGCAAGUUGCCAUCUAACAUAGUUGAAGGGGAGCCAGUUGUGGUGAUCUUUGUUCCUGCUGAAAUAUGGAAAGAAAAUGAGGAAAUGAGCUCAUUUUCAAAGAAAAUGAACAUUCUUUCACAUGAAAGAAAUAGGAGCAAAGUGACAG
Molecule: long non-coding RNA, 656 nt
Organism: Homo sapiens (human)
Lineage: Eukaryota; Metazoa; Chordata; Mammalia; Primates; Hominidae
Source: Ensembl